UCUUGCCUAAUAUUUGUGGGAAAAUACCCCU
RNAcentral lists this non-coding RNA (31 nucleotides) under Rattus norvegicus (Norway rat). Lineage: Eukaryota; Metazoa; Chordata; Mammalia; Rodentia; Muridae. The record is from RNAcentral.